RNAcentral lists this ribosomal RNA (368 nucleotides) under Salmonella enterica. RNAcentral describes it as "bacterial SSU rRNA". It matches the Rfam family "Bacterial small subunit ribosomal RNA", at positions 1 to 365 of the family's 1533-position model. The record is from RNAcentral. RNAcentral also lists the same sequence under 1 other name. Lineage: Bacteria; Pseudomonadati; Pseudomonadota; Gammaproteobacteria; Enterobacterales; Enterobacteriaceae.
AAAUUGAAGAGUUUGAUCAUGGCUCAGAUUGAACGCUGGCGGCAGGCCUAACACAUGCAAGUCGAACGGUAACAGGAAGCAGCUUGCUGCUUUGCUGACGAGUGGCGGACGGGUGAGUAAUGUCUGGGAAACUGCCUGAUGGAGGGGGAUAACUACUGGAAACGGUGGCUAAUACCGCAUAACGUCGCAAGACCAAAGAGGGGGACCUUCGGGCCUCUUGCCAUCAGAUGUGCCCAGAUGGGAUUAGCUUGUUGGUGAGGUAACGGCUCACCAAGGCGACGAUCCCUAGCUGGUCUGAGAGGAUGACCAGCCACACUGGAACUGAGACACGGUCCAGACUCCUACGGGAGGCAGCAGUGGGGAAUAUU